GCCCGCGCGGGCGCCGAGAGGAGAGGCGAGGCGGGGAGCGCGAGCGGCGGCCACUGCCACGUAUUCCCGGCAGUGGCGGYGGAGGUGGCGGCGCCCGCGGCAGGAAUAUUCAAGAUACCUUUACUGGAAAUCAUUUUGCUGAAAUUAUUGAAACAGUGAUUCUUGAAUUUGAAGACAAGGAAUCUCUCUCCCCGUCUUGACUACAGGAGUGUGGACCUUUCUUCACGGCCUCUCUGGACACACUG
This 245-nucleotide long non-coding RNA is filed under the name Urocitellus parryii (Arctic ground squirrel). Its description in RNAcentral is "lncRNA (ENSUPAG00010001124.1)". The record is from RNAcentral. Lineage: Eukaryota; Metazoa; Chordata; Mammalia; Rodentia; Sciuridae.